AAGUCGUAACAAGGUUUCCGUAGGUGAACUAUAGAACUACCGCUCGAUUGUAACUGUUCCAAUGUUCGCACGUAGCCAGAGAUCUCUGAAUCACUACAACUUUCCGGGCUAUGAAUGUGAAGCUCAAUGUAAUACAUUGGGUAAAAAAACCGAACAACUGUUAACAAUGGAUAUCUUGGUUCUC
This 184-nucleotide unclassified non-coding RNA is filed under the name fungal sp. RNAcentral describes it as "partial internal transcribed spacer region". The record is from RNAcentral. Lineage: Eukaryota; Fungi.